GAUGAAGAACGCAGCGAACUGCGAUAAGUAAUGUGAAUUGCAGAAUUCAGUGAAUCAUCGAGUCUUUGAACGCACAUUGCGCCCCCUGGCAUUCCGGGGGGCAUGCCUGUCCGAGCGUCAUUGCUGCCCUUCAAGCCCGGCUUGUGUGUUGGGUCGUCGUCCCCCCCGGGGGACGGGCCCGAGAGGCAGCGGCGGCACCGCGUCCGGUCCUCGGGCGUAUGGGGCUUUGUCACCCGCUCGAUUAGGGCCGGCCGGGCGCCAGCCGGCGUCUCCAACCUUCUAUUUUACCAGGUUGACCUCGGAUCAGGUAGGGAUACCCGCUGAACUUAAGCAUAUCAAUAAGCGGAGGA
This 350-nucleotide unclassified non-coding RNA is filed under the name soil metagenome. RNAcentral describes it as "partial contains 5.8S ribosomal RNA, internal transcribed spacer 2, and large subunit ribosomal RNA". The stretch from base 1 to 120 matches the Rfam family "5.8S ribosomal RNA", at positions 35 to 154 of the family's 154-position model. The record is from RNAcentral.